AAAUUUACACCAGUGUUUCCAAUAUGUGGAUUUGUCAUUAGGACAAACUGACCAGCAUAACUAGGAUCAGUAAGUAUUUCUUGAUACCCUGUCAGAGAUGUGUUAAACACCACUUCACCAACUUGUGUUCCUCUAGCACCAAAUGACUUGGCCUUCCAAAUCGAGCCAUCUUCAACACAAGUCUAGCAUCGGAAAUUUUCCAAGGCCUCUCCACAACACCAGAGGCGACCCCGUCAGGAGAAGCAUAACAUUUUACAGUGAAAAGAUUCUUCAGUGGUUUUGCUCUGGUUGAAGGUUUCAGAGAAAUUAGGCAAUUCGACGGAUUUGUAACAGCAAACUCCAUCUCCUCUCUUCUCCUUGUUGAUGUCGUUACAGGAUUAGGGUUUUCCUUGCGUUUUAUAUGGGUUUAUGAGUUCACAAAAUUCCAU
Molecule: unclassified non-coding RNA, 428 nt
Filed under: Hevea brasiliensis (rubber tree)
Lineage: Eukaryota; Viridiplantae; Streptophyta; Magnoliopsida; Malpighiales; Euphorbiaceae
Source: RNAcentral